Molecule: ribosomal RNA, 244 nt
Filed under: uncultured bacterium
Lineage: Bacteria
Description: partial 16S ribosomal RNA
Rfam family: Bacterial small subunit ribosomal RNA
Source: RNAcentral
UACGUAGGGUGCAAGCGUUAAUCGGAAUUACUGGGCGUAAAGCGUGCGCAGGCGGUGAUGUAAGACAGUUGUGAAAUCCCCGGGCUCAACCUGGGAACUGCAUCUGUGACUGCAUCGCUGGAGUACGGUAGAGGGGGAUGGAAUUCCGCGUGUAGCAGUGAAAUGCGUAGAUAUGCGGAGGAACACCGAUGGCGAAGGCAAUCCCCUGGACCUGUACUGACGCUCAUGCACGAAAGGCGUGGGG